RNAcentral lists this ribosomal RNA (144 nucleotides) under endophyte DG vagiga3. RNAcentral's name for it is "small subunit ribosomal RNA". It matches the Rfam family "Eukaryotic small subunit ribosomal RNA", at positions 82 to 228 of the family's 1831-position model. Lineage: Eukaryota; Fungi; Ascomycota. The record is from RNAcentral.
UGAAACUGCGAAUGGCUCAUUAAAUCAGUUAUAGUUUAUUUGAUAGUACCUUACCACUUGGAUAACCGUGGUAAUUCUAGAGCUAAUACAUGCUAAAAACCUCGACUUCGGAAGGGGUGUAUUUAUUAGAUAAAAAACCAAUGC